RNAcentral lists this ribosomal RNA (458 nucleotides) under uncultured bacterium. Its description in RNAcentral is "partial 16S ribosomal RNA". It matches the Rfam family "Bacterial small subunit ribosomal RNA", at positions 338 to 795 of the family's 1533-position model. The record is from RNAcentral.
CCUACGGGUGGCAGCAGUGAGGAAUAUUGGUCAAUGGGCGAGAGCCUGAACCAGCCAAGUCGCGUGAGGGAGUACUGCCCUAUGGGUUGUAAACCUCUUUUGUCGGGGAGCAAAAGCCGGACGUGUCCGGCUGUGAGAGUACCCGAAGAAAAAGCAUCGGCUAAAUCCGUGCCAGCAGCCGCGGUAAUACGGGGGAUGCGAGCGUUAUCCGGGUUUAUUGGGUUUAAAGGGUGCGCAGGCGGAUUUUUAAGUCAGCGGUAAAAUCGUGGGGCUCAACCCCAUCCAGCCGUUGAAACUGGGGAUCUAGAGUGUGCGAGAGGUAGGCGGAAUGCGUGGUGUAGCGGUGAAAUGCAUAGAUAUCACGCAGAACCCCGAUUGCGAAGGCAGCAUACCGGUGCACAACUGACGCUCAGGCACGAAAGCGUGGGUAUCGAACAGGAUUAGAUACCCGGGUAGUC